ACGGAAGGCAGCAGUGAGGAAUAUUGGUCAAUGGGCGGAAGCCUGAACCAGCCAAGUCGCGUGAGGGAAGACGGCCCUACGGGUUGUAAACCUCUUCUGCGCGGGGGUAAAGUCGGGGACGGGUCCCCGAUUGCAAGUACCGCGCGAAAAAGGAUCGGCUAACUCCGUGCCAGCAGCCGCGGUAAUACGGAGGAUCCGAGUGUUAUCCGGAUUUAUUGGGUUUAAAGGGAGCGCAGGCGGCCUGUUAAGCGUGUGGUGAAAUGUAGUCGCUCAACGUCUGCACUGCCACGCGAACUGGCGGGCUUGGGUGCGGUGAACGCUGGCGGAAUUCGUGGUGUAGCGGUGAAAUGCUUAGAUAUCACGAAGAACUCCGAUUGCGAAGGCAGCUGGCGGUACCGUUACCGACGCUCAUGCUCGAAAGUGUGGGUAUCGAACAGGAUUAGAUACCCUGGUA
Molecule: ribosomal RNA, 454 nt
Filed under: uncultured Prevotella sp.
Lineage: Bacteria; Pseudomonadati; Bacteroidota; Bacteroidia; Bacteroidales; Prevotellaceae
Description: partial 16S ribosomal RNA
Rfam family: Bacterial small subunit ribosomal RNA
Source: RNAcentral